GGCUGGGCUUCGAGUAGGCGUAGGCUGGGCUGAGCUUGCGAAGCCCAGCCCCUCGAUCGCUGGGCUUCGAGUACUCAGCCCAGCCU
This 86-nucleotide transfer RNA is filed under the name Phycisphaerae bacterium RAS1. Its description in RNAcentral is "tRNA-Arg". The record is from RNAcentral. Lineage: Bacteria; Pseudomonadati; Planctomycetota; Phycisphaerae.